CCCGCUGAGUUUAAGCAUAUCAAUAAGUGGAGGAAAAGAAACUUACCAGGAUUCCCCUAGUAAUAGCGAGCGAACCGGGAAAAGCCCAGCUUUAGAAUCGGUCGCCAUCGGCAUCUGAAUUGUAGUCUGGAAAAGCGUCCUCAGCGGUGGACCGGGCCCAAGUCCCCUGGAAAGGGGCGCCGGAGAGGGUGAGAGCCCCGUCGUGCCUGGACCCUGUCGCACCAAGAGGCGCUAUCUACGAGUCAGGUUGUUUGGGAAUGCAGCCCUAAUCGGGCGGUAAAUUCCGUCCAAGGCUAAAUACGGGCGAGAGACCGAUAGCGAACAAGUACCGUGAGGGAAAGAUGAAAAGGACUUUGAAAAGAGAAUCAAAGAGUGCUUGAAAUUGUCGGGAGCGAAGCGGAUGGGGGCCGGUGAUAUGCCCCGGUCGGAUAUGGAACGGCGAGAGCCGGUCCACCGAUCGGCUCGAGCCGUGGACCGACGCGGGUCGUGGCGGCGGCCCAAGUCCAGACAUUCGAUACGCCUGUGGAGACGUCGUCGCCAGGAUCGUGGGACUCAGUACGCGCCGUCUCGGCGUGCUUCGGUACCUGCGUGCUCUGGACGUCGGCCUGCGGGCUCCCCAUUCGGCCCGUCUUGAAACACGG
Molecule: non-coding RNA, 641 nt
Organism: Gossypium raimondii (Peruvian cotton)
Lineage: Eukaryota; Viridiplantae; Streptophyta; Magnoliopsida; Malvales; Malvaceae
Source: Rfam